GCGGGUGUGGCGAAACUGGUAGACGCGCUAGACUUAGGAUCUAGUGCCGAAAGGCUUGGGGGUUCGAGUCCCUCCACCCGUA
RNAcentral lists this transfer RNA (82 nucleotides) under Saprospirales bacterium. Its description in RNAcentral is "tRNA-Leu". It matches the Rfam family "tRNA". Rfam says of the family: Transfer RNA (tRNA) molecules are approximately 80 nucleotides in length. Their secondary structure includes four short double-helical elements and three loops (D, anti-codon, and T loops). Further hydrogen bonds mediate the characteristic L-shaped molecular structure. tRNAs have two regions of fundamental functional importance: the anti-codon, which is responsible for specific mRNA codon recognition, and the 3' end, to which the tRNAs corresponding amino acid is attached (by aminoacyl-tRNA synthetases). tRNAs cope with the degeneracy of the genetic code in two manners: having more than one tRNA (with a specific anti-codon) for a particular amino acid; and 'wobble' base-pairing, i.e. permitting non-standard base-pairing at the 3rd anti-codon position. The record is from RNAcentral. Lineage: Bacteria; Pseudomonadati; Bacteroidota; Saprospiria; Saprospirales.